RNAcentral lists this long non-coding RNA (3450 nucleotides) under Phoenix dactylifera (date palm). RNAcentral's name for it is "long non-coding RNA (PDAC_LNC000666)". The record is from RNAcentral. Lineage: Eukaryota; Viridiplantae; Streptophyta; Magnoliopsida; Arecales; Arecaceae.
GAGUAUGCUAGGGUCAAACAAUCAUCAUGGUAUUGUUUCUUCAGAACUGUAACAAAUGUAACAAGCUAUUUGUUACAAUAAAUGCAAAUAGAACUCGCUAGUAAACAUUAUUGCAGAAUUUGGAAAAAUAUUAAGAGACUUUACUUUUAAAGCUAAAGAGUUCUGUCUCCGGCAGUGUGAGAAGGAUAAUUAUACCUAGCUUAGUAUAGGUGAAAUGGCAGUGGAGAUUCUAAAUACGGUAUUAGCUUAGUAUUGGUUUCAGUCCAUCCAUUAGCCUUAGAGAGAAAAGUAUUAGUUAAUGAUCGACAAAACCAUAUGAGAUGAUAAUUAUAUGUUAAUACAAAAGCUAAUAUCCGGCGGUAGUAUAGCAAACCAAAGCCUGCCCAAGAACAACCAUUGGCUUUUUGAUCACUAGGAAGAGAAGUUCACUAGGAAAUUUUACAUGCCGGGAAGUUCCCUUGAUGGAUUCAUGUUGAGAAUGAAGAAGAAGAACAGAGACCAGAUCUACCAUUAUUCUCCUCAAAAUAAUUUUGGGGAUGGAAUGGAUUACUUAAUGAAAAGACUUGGAGUCUUUCUCCACAAAUAGGCGUUCUCCUCUUCAUCAUAUCCCACUAACUCGCCCUAAUCUUUCAUGUCCCAUCAAAAGUUAUCACAUAAAUCAGCAGUGUCACAAGUGAAAUCACACAGAAGACCCAUGCAGAGAGCCGAAAGAGAGUCAGCACUGGUGGUGGAGAGCUGCAUACAUGUGAAGAAGACCGUCGGAAAAGUUGCCUUGGCUUAUCAGUAUUAUGUUCCAAGGCGGCCCUGAGCUUCAAGCACCAAACAACAGUAAUAGCAAUAAUUUAAAGAAAAAGAAGUUGACUUUCGAUAUACAACACCCAUUUCCUAUCUCUCCUACCUGCAACCCACCCACCUUUGCGACCUAUGAAAUGAUUUGUGGCAGUGGCCUCAGAUACCCACUAAAGAUGAAGGAAAGACACUUUAGUAGGCUUCUCUCACCCCUGUCCCACUCACUUUCCCGUCUUCUACCAGUGGAGAACCUAGGAUAGCCCAGCCUUGCAUAAAGAUCUACCCCUGGUAUGUGUUAUUUGGUGCAUUGUUGUACCAUAAUUUAAAAGGGAGAGGUUAUGGGAUUCAUUACAUGUGUGAAGAGAGCAGAGCAACUUAUGAGGUCAAGUCUCUCUCUAGGUAGCCCUUGUUCUACCAUUUAUUAUGUUCAAAUUUUAUAACAUAAAGGCCGCUCCACAUUCUGUUCUCAAAAAUACUAAUGAUCACAAUAGGUAUUGAAGUACUCAAAAUAUGGAAGUUAUUAAUUUUAUAUAUAUAUAUAUAUAUAUAUAAUAAACUAUUUAANNNNNNNNNNNNNNNNNNNNUUAUUAAUUUAUAUAUAUAUAUAUAUAUAUAUAUAAAACAUUUUAAGUAUCAAACUUAGUUGAAUUUUGGUCCAUGUAGGUUACUUUUACGUAGUUUGAGGUAAUGAAGUAAUCUGAAAGGGCGCAACUUGAAUACUAGACAGGCUCAAAAAAAUUAUUCAAUCUUUUCAUUUGACCAUUUAUUAACAUUAUUGACCUUAGUAUGGUAGCUUGGAAAAAAUAACAACGACAAUAAUAAUAACAAUAGUAGAUAAAUAAGUAAAUAAAUAAGCAAGCUAUAACUCAAUCAGAGGUCAACCAUCAUCUUCCCUCCAACUUAGGAAUAUUCUAAUAUUGACACAUGAACACUAAAUGUCUGUUACUACCCUACUCAAAUGGUCCCAAAAGAUCCACUUUAAUCAUGAAGGGAGCAUGAUAAGAUGUGCACACCGGCAUUUCUAGGAGAUGAUGAGUGGACAUGGAAAUUAUUUGAUAUGGAUAUUGAAAAAUCACUGACCUUUCAGCGAUUUCCAAUCAGGAUGUCAAAUCUAGAUGUGGGGCAAGACUGAUGCACGUUAAACUCAUCCCUGAUUGCAGGUCAGUGCAGACAGGCAUACUUAUGGACUUAUAAUGUUUCUAAUGGACCAAGCUUUACAGUGCCAACUAAAUUUCUAGCCCAGUGACCCAUGAAUUGAGAGAGAGAUAUCCAUGACCUUAAGGCACUGUUCGGAUAGGCAAUAUGUGGGAUUUAUCCCCAUUUAUCCUGGGAAUAACAACUAAAAAUGCUAAUCUGUCGGCCAAGAUAAGUUAGGCCCAGUUAUCCAGUCAACGAAGUUUAUACGCUUUACAACUUUAUAUCUAAGGGACGGUUGCCUAACUAUAGUGUAAAACUUGAUCCCAACCACUCCCCUAUGCCCUCCAUUAUUUAAGAAAAUGACCAAUUUAGAUCUCCAAUAAUAUAAUAUAAUAUAAUAUAUAUGAUACUACGUUAUAAUAUUAUUAUAAUAUGAUAUUCUAUAUUAUUAAAUAUUAUUAUAAUCUUAUCAUAUAAUAUAAUAUUGCAUAACAUUAUAAUAUUACAUUGCAAUAUUUAGUAUGAUGUAUAAUGUAAUAUCAUAGUAUAAUACUAAAAAUACAUUACAAAAUCACUUUUUUCAUCCACUUUUCUCCAAGCAACAUCCAAACAGUAUCUCUUACCCGCUCCCAGUGUCCAAACAAACAGCUGCAAUCUUUAAUUGGUAUAACAUCAUUUUCCCUUACGCAAAAAUUAAGAUUUACAACCUUUUUUUAUCCCAAAAACUCGUACCAAAUCUAAACGUAGGCUAAAAAGCAACCCGAACAGUGGUAAGUAUCCCCCAUUUUGUGGCCAACUUGGUCUUAAACAUCCAGCAACUGUCCUCGGUUGACCAUGAGAGCCAUUUGGGAUGCAAGCCAACCAUAACAGGGCCCAUGAUUCUGAAUAAUUUAUAGCUACACAGACAGAUGUUGAGGAUCGAUUUUAUUAGAUUUAAAGAUACAGAGAACUUCUAGGCAGAAAUUAUUGGAACUUCUGUAUACAGUGUAGACUAUAUCUUGUUCUGUUAUAUUCAUAGAGAAAUUCUACAAAUAUUCUUUCUCUAGAAGUUGUUAUUGGAUUUUAAGAGAAAACUCAAAGAGGGUAGAGAUGAGAAAGAAAACUAAACUUUCAUGGGCCACACAAUAUGGAUAAAACCAUAAAUAAAUUAGGCAAUUUGUUUUGGGUUUAUAGCAAUUACCAGGUUGAAUUUUGUGGCUAUUUUGUUGGACUGGCUCUAAAGUCCUAUUUGAAUAGGACCAGUCUCCUGCUUGAAUUAUUGAAUGGAUUAAGAAUUUUUAGAAGUCGCUAAAUUGUGUUUUGACAUACUUUUAUUUCCAAAAGGAAUUCUCAAAAUCUAUCAGUUGCAGUUUUAAGAAGAUCAUAUUACCAUUAUAUAUAUAUAGUCUUGACUUGGAUAAGUAUUUAAGAACAGGACUAGAAUUGUAAAGAGUGUGUUCGUGUAAUCAAAAAUUUUUGAAAGUUUCUAGUGUCAUGAAUUGUUAAACAGAUGUGAGACUUUUAAGUAAAGCCAUAUACUUUGUG